Molecule: ribosomal RNA, 442 nt
Filed under: uncultured bacterium
Lineage: Bacteria
Description: partial 16S ribosomal RNA
Rfam family: Bacterial small subunit ribosomal RNA
Source: RNAcentral
CCUACGGGAGGCAGCAGUAGGGAAUCUUUCACAAUGGGCGAAAGCCUGAUGGAGCAACGCCGCGUGCAGGAUGAAGGCCUUCGGGUUGUAAACUGCUUUUAUAAGCGAGAAAUAUGAUGGUAACUUAUGAAUCCGGAUCGGCUAACUACGUGCCAGCAGCCGCGGUCAUACGUAGGAUCCGAGCAUUAUCCGGAGUGACUGGGUGUAAAGAGUUGCGUAGGUGGCAUAAUAAGUAGCUAGUGAAAUCUGGUGGCUCAACCAUUCAGACUAUUAGCUAAACUGUUAAGCUCGAGACCGUUAGGGGUAACUGGAAUUUCUAGUGUAGGAGUGAAAUCCGUAGAUAUUAGAAGGAACACCAAUAGCGUAGGCAGGUUGCUGGGACGGUUCUGACACUAAGGCACGAAAGCGUAGGGAGCAAACGGGAUUAGAUACCCGAGUAGUC